GUGAACAUAAUUUAACUAAAAUAUUAGGUUGUGGUCCUAAAAAUGAAGGCUAAUACCCUCCUGUUCACC
Molecule: transfer RNA, 69 nt
Filed under: Microhyla taraiensis
Lineage: Eukaryota; Metazoa; Chordata; Amphibia; Anura; Microhylidae
Description: tRNA-His
Rfam family: tRNA
About the family: Transfer RNA (tRNA) molecules are approximately 80 nucleotides in length. Their secondary structure includes four short double-helical elements and three loops (D, anti-codon, and T loops).
Source: RNAcentral